GUCUGGAGCCAUACCACCCUGAAGGCACCCAGUCUCAUCUGAUCUCAGAAGCUAAGCAGGCCUGGUUAGCACUUGGAAGGGAGAAGCCUGGAAUAUUCUGUGCCAAACU
Molecule: ribosomal RNA, 109 nt
Filed under: Castor canadensis (American beaver)
Lineage: Eukaryota; Metazoa; Chordata; Mammalia; Rodentia; Castoridae
Source: RNAcentral